RNAcentral lists this ribosomal RNA (579 nucleotides) under uncultured bacterium. Its description in RNAcentral is "partial 16S ribosomal RNA". It matches the Rfam family "Bacterial small subunit ribosomal RNA", at positions 355 to 932 of the family's 1533-position model. The record is from RNAcentral.
UGGGGAAUUUUGGACAAUGGGCGAAAGCCUGAUCCAGCAAUGCCGCGUGUGUGAAGAAGGCCUUCGGGUUGUAAAGCACUUUUGUCCGGAAAGAAAUCCUUGGCUCUAAUACAGUCGGGGGAUGACGGUACCGGAAGAAUAAGCACCGGCUAACUACGUGCCAGCAGCCGCGGUAAUACGUAGGGUGCAAGCGUUAAUCGGAAUUACUGGGCGUAAAGCGUGCGCAGGCGGUUUGCUAAGACCGAUGUGAAAUCCCCGGGCUCAACCUGGGAACUGCAUUGGUGACUGGCAGGCUAGAGUAUGGCAGAGGGGGGUAGAAUUCCACGUGUAGCAGUGAAAUGCGUAGAGAUGUGGAGGAAUACCGAUGGCGAAGGCAGCCCCUGGGCCAAUACUGACGCUCAUGCACGAAAGCGUGGGGAGCAAACAGGAUUAGAUACCCUGGUAGUCCACGCCCUAAAACGAUGUCAACUAGUUGUUGGGGAUUCAUUUCCUUAGUAACGUAGCUAACGCGUGAAGUUGACCGCCUGGGGAGUACGGUCGCAAGAUUAAAACUCAAAUGAAUUGACGGGGUCAUAGCUG